AUGACCACAGAGCUCAGAAACCUCAGAGCAGGGUCUGGGCUUCAUUACUCUGGAUUCCUGAGAGUGAGAGCAAUUAACAUCUGGCCAAAAUCAAGGGGUGGGGAGAAAAACAGUGGAUUCAACUUAAAUGCAGGUGCCAGUUUGAACAAAAAUCAGCGUCUGACCCAAACAGAUGGUACAGAAAAAGGCCUUUCCUCAGAGCCUGGCUGCAAAAAUUCUCCUAAGCCUUGGGACAUGGAUUGGAGCUGUAUCCACCAUGGGGCUCACAGCAGUGGGCCAAGAGGAAACAUUUUUUCUAACUUGUGAGCGAAGAUGAAAUUGUUUCCUUUGCUCAUGGUCAACUCCGCCAGGAGAACUUCACUCAUUCCUGAAGAACUCUUCCCAGGAUGAGACUGAUGAGUUACACAGUGUUCAAAUAAGCGAAAAGUCAAGGUUGUUGUGCAGGUUGCUAAUGAAUUCACUGUGGUUUGGGCUAGGAGAAGACGAUGACGUGUCUGGGGAUCAUUCCAUGAAUGGCAGAAAUGAGGAAUCCUUCAUUCGUGCAAGUUUGUGCCAGCUGCUUGGAUCCUCUCUGCACAGGCUCCUCCCUGGUCAUUAUGAUAUGUGUAAUGAUGGUGCUCCUGUUUAGCCUCUCUCAUGUCUCGUAGGACUGCAUUCUUAACUUAUGCUAAUGAAGCAUCUUUCUUACCUCGACCCAUUUGUCAAAUUCAGAUGAAAUUACUGCAGAACUAAAAAGCUGGGGAAGAUAGAAUAAACAAAAAGAAGCAAAGUGAGCUCA
This 778-nucleotide long non-coding RNA is filed under the name Numida meleagris (helmeted guineafowl). RNAcentral describes it as "lncRNA (ENSNMEG00000004983.1)". Lineage: Eukaryota; Metazoa; Chordata; Aves; Galliformes; Numididae. The record is from RNAcentral.